GUAGCGGGAGGAGGGUGGCUCCGCGCGCGGCCGCACCGCGAAACCGUGCCCAUUCGCCUCGACCACGGACGUCCACUCGUUUUCACGUCUCGUGCGAAAACAUGGCGGCCAGCGACGAUGAGCCGAUGCAUCUCUACGAGGUCUUUCAGAACUGCUUCAAUAAGAUCGCCAACAAGCAGCCUGAAAAACCAGGCUUUCAGACGCCAUACGGUUCCACAAUAGACAACGGGAUGGCGUACGGUGGUGG
This is a long non-coding RNA of Dinoponera quadriceps, 247 nucleotides long. RefSeq lists it as uncharacterized. NCBI's taxonomy places the organism in Eukaryota, Metazoa, Arthropoda, Insecta, Hymenoptera, Formicidae. The record is from RefSeq and is a predicted model, not a curated record. The transcript is spliced from 3 exons.